AAACCAACUGGGAUUACCUUAGUAACGGCGAGUGAAGCGGUAAAAGCUCAAAUUUGAAAUCUGGUACUUUCAGUGCCCGAGUUGUAAUUUGUAGAAUUUGUCUUUGAUUAGGUCCUUGUCUAUGUUCCUUGGAACAGGACGUCAUAGAGGGUGAGAAUCCCGUUUGGCGAGGAUACCUUUUCUCUGUAAGACUUUUUCGAAGAGUCGAGUUGUUUGGGAAUGCAGCUCAAAGUGGGUGGUAAAUUCCAUCUAAAGCUAAAUAUUGGCGAGAGACCGAUAGCGAACAAGUACAGUGAUGGAAAGAUGAAAAGAACUUUGAAAAGAGAGUGAAAAAGUACGUGAAAUUGUUGAAAGGGAAGGGCAUUUGAUCAGACAUGGUGUUUUUUAAAUGUGCAAGUCUCUCGUGGACAUGUGCCUCUGGAAAUUAACACUGGGCCAACAUCAGUUCUGGCGGCAGGAUAAAUCAUUAAGAAUGUAGCUACUUCGGUAGUGUUAUAGCUUUUUGGAAUACUGCCAGCUGGGUA
RNAcentral lists this ribosomal RNA (524 nucleotides) under uncultured Hanseniaspora. Its description in RNAcentral is "eukaryotic LSU rRNA". It matches the Rfam family "Eukaryotic large subunit ribosomal RNA", at positions 62 to 585 of the family's 3401-position model. Lineage: Eukaryota; Fungi; Ascomycota; Saccharomycetes; Saccharomycodales; Saccharomycodaceae. The record is from RNAcentral.